AUGGUCAGCGACGGAUACCUCCUGCUCAUAUUCCAAUCAUUCAUCGACUCUUCUUUCUCACAGUUAGUCAGGUACGGUGGCCGUUGUUCGCUGGAGAAUUGGUUCGCCCAACUUGACGUCCACUGGGUUCUCCAAAUGCGCGACAAGUAUGGCUGGCGCUUCCAGUUCAGAGACAUGUCUGUAUCGUGCCUCCAAGAAUUGGCUGAGAGGUGGACUCGAGCUCUCACGGUAAUUGUUGUCAGUAUCAAAGAGCUGGUCACUGCCAUCCACGACGUGCCGGCAGUUGCACAGUUUGGCAGAGUGAGCAUCUCACCAAUGCUUGUCUUUGUCGACGCUGCAGUUCAUGUUAAUGAGGCAGAGAAGCUACAGGCCAUGCUACACACAUAUAUCUGUCUGCCCAACGCAUCAUACAACAUGUGUAUGAUGCACUUGAUCUCUUCGGAAGCCCAAAGCAUUUUCAACGACAUAGGCGCCUCGUUAGACAGAGAAAGGAAGAGGUUAAUUGGGGCCAUAUCAAACACGAUGCUCGUGGGUUGGACACUUGACAUUCUGCGAGGGGCGGGCGAGGUACACAGGAACACUCGGUUGUUGGUGAAUUGCAUAACGUUGAUGAGGAAAGCACAUGCUUCAACAAAAAGCUCUGCACACAGCCACUACACUGGAGAGCUUCACGACCUGAUACAUGACACGGUCAAUUAUCUGAAGGAUCUGCUUCUGAAAAAAUCAGCUUUGUGCUCCGACCCAAGCCUCAGGUACAUGUUCUUGCUUAACAAUUCCAAUUUCAUAGCGCAGGUGUCUGAGACAUCGAUAUGCUUAGAUGUUGAGUUGUGCUCUGGACAACAGCGAAGACUUGAACUUAAAAAUGAACGUAAUAAGUACAUGGAUGGUUAUCUUGAUGCUUCUUGGGGGCAUGUGGUCUCCUGUAUACCAAAAUCGAGAUCUCCUGGAUUGAUCCGUGGCUGGAUCAACACCCGUUCACUGGCCAAAUUCGAGUCAGCAUUUCACGAAACGUACCAGGCUCAAAAGCUCUGGAAGGUUCCAGACCCUCGGCUCAGAGAUGUCCUGCGGAGAGCUAUCAUCGAGAGAGUCAUUCCAGGUUACCGUGACUACCUGAAGGAGCAUCCCUUGCUGGAGAAACAAGCUAGUGACGGAAGCAGCAGUCCUGAAGUCUUGGAGGAGAUGCUGGCAGAGCUAUUUGAAGGAUGA
This 1206-nucleotide ribosomal RNA is filed under the name Triticum aestivum (bread wheat). RNAcentral describes it as "partial small subunit ribosomal RNA". The record is from RNAcentral. Lineage: Eukaryota; Viridiplantae; Streptophyta; Magnoliopsida; Poales; Poaceae.